This 1741-nucleotide long non-coding RNA is filed under the name Homo sapiens (human). RNAcentral's name for it is "HSALNT0001721". The record is from RNAcentral. Lineage: Eukaryota; Metazoa; Chordata; Mammalia; Primates; Hominidae.
AAGAGACCCAGACACUCCAGACCACAGUGUGACAGAGAUGGGGAUGGAGACCCCAGCACGCCGGGUCAGAGCAGCCGCCAGCCUGAACCAGGGCAAGAAGCUGCGGAACAAAGACUCCAACCAGAAAAGCAUGAAGAAGGAGCAGAACGGGAGACAGCCUGAGAGCCGCUGGAGCCGCUUCUCCUAGGGAGUUUCAGAUUCUCUUUAUUCUGAAGACAAAAGCAAAAUGAAGAUGACAGACGGUGAGAGAUGUUUAGCGGGUUUGUUUUUCUGCAGACGUUCUGGAGGACCUGGAUGAAAUCGCCAAUUAGCCCUCCUCCCCGCAAGCAAGCUCCCAAGUCCACAACCCUGGUGGGAACUAAGUUCCCCACCCAGCCCCAGCUGGAGGCAACUCUCACUCUGUCUCUCUCACCCCCGGUUUAUGUGUCUUUGUCCCUGCAGCUGCACGUCUGACUCCUUCUUCUUUCUUUCUUGGUCUCCCUUACCUUAGAUUUUUCUUCCUUGGUAUUUUCUGGUCUCCUGCCUCCCUCUCUGACCCAUCUCACUCCGAGGAGCCACUGGAGCAGGCUCUCUGGCCCUUGGACCCAUCUGUCUCCUGCCUCUGGCAUUUCUUGCGCCCCUCCCGGUGUGUCCUCCCGUCUCACCCCCACGCUGUCUCAUUGUUCAUUGGCGAUUGACCUUAGUUUCUUUUUUUUUUUUUUUUGAGACAGUCUCUCCCUCUCACCCAGGCUGGAGUGUAGUGGCUCAGUCUCGGCUCACUGCAACCUCCACCUCUCAGGUUCAAGUGAUUCUCCUGCCUCAGCCUCCUGAGUAGCUGGGAUUACAGGUGUCCACCACCACACCUGGCUAAUUUUUGCAUUGUUAGUAGAGACGGGUUUCACCGUGUUGGCCAGGCUGGUCUUGAACUCCUGACCUCAGGUGAUCCUCCUGCCUCAGCCUCCCUAAGUGCUGGGAUUACAGGCAUGAGCCACUGCACCCGGCCAUUGACCUUAGUUUUUGAUGUCCAUCCGCUGCAGGUGUCCCUCCCGUGGCCCUGGGCAGUGCGUCCAGGUGGCCUGUGGAGCAGGAGAGUGGAGUCCCCAGCCAGAAUUUGCUGUGCAGAGAGGGAGACCCUGCAUUGCUCUCAGCUGCGGGCAGCUUGGCAUAAGGAAAAGGCAGUGCCCAUAGUUAGGGGAACAGAAGAGGCAGCCAGCAGCAACUUUCAUCCAGAGUGGAUCUGAAAUUCCAGGCCAGGCCUGAGGAAUGCUCAGCUGCUUUUGUGUGCAUACACACACACACGGAGACACACACAUACACGCACGCAUACCCACACGGGGACACACACACAUACACACACAGACACAUAUGGGGACACACACAGGGACACACACAUACACGGGGACACACAAGGGGACACACAUACACACAAGGACAUACACACAGGGACACAAAGCACAACAGCCACACACUGGGCAGCCUCAGAUGGCCUCACAACCAGACUCCCAAAUUCACAUCUCUCCACAGUCAUCCAGGAACCACAGUCCUUCCAACUCCCAACCCCAAACCACACUGCCCGGAGACAUUCCCCUGCCCCACAGGGCACCAGGAGCCCUGAGGCUAGAAAGGGGCUCUGGGCAUGUGCACUGCGUAAGGGAGAAGGAUAAUUUGUCUCAACUUAAAUCCAGCCCUCGCUAUGGGGACACCAGCCUCUCCCUGGCGACCGUGAAAGGGAGGACGAGGAGGAGGAAGAGGAGAAGGGGGA